GGCGACAUAGCUCAGUCGGUAGAGCAAACGGCUCAUAUCCGUUUGGUCAUUGGUUCAAGUCCAAUUGUCGCUACCA
This 76-nucleotide transfer RNA is filed under the name Treponema sp. Its description in RNAcentral is "tRNA-Met". It matches the Rfam family "tRNA". From Rfam's summary of the family: Transfer RNA (tRNA) molecules are approximately 80 nucleotides in length. Their secondary structure includes four short double-helical elements and three loops (D, anti-codon, and T loops). Further hydrogen bonds mediate the characteristic L-shaped molecular structure. tRNAs have two regions of fundamental functional importance: the anti-codon, which is responsible for specific mRNA codon recognition, and the 3' end, to which the tRNAs corresponding amino acid is attached (by aminoacyl-tRNA synthetases). tRNAs cope with the degeneracy of the genetic code in two manners: having more than one tRNA (with a specific anti-codon) for a particular amino acid; and 'wobble' base-pairing, i.e. permitting non-standard base-pairing at the 3rd anti-codon position. Lineage: Bacteria; Pseudomonadati; Spirochaetota; Spirochaetia; Treponematales; Treponemataceae. The record is from RNAcentral.